RNAcentral lists this ribosomal RNA (301 nucleotides) under uncultured bacterium. RNAcentral describes it as "partial 16S ribosomal RNA". It matches the Rfam family "Bacterial small subunit ribosomal RNA", at positions 509 to 809 of the family's 1533-position model. The record is from RNAcentral.
CAGUCGCCACGGUAACACGUAGGGUGCGAGCGUUAAUCGGAAUUACUGGGCGUAAAGCGUGCGCAGGCGGUUGUGUAAGACAGGUGUGAAAUCCCCGGGCUUAACCUGGGAACUGCGCUUGUGACUGCACAGCUAGAGUAUGGCAGAGGGGGGCGGAAUUCCACGUGUAGCAGUGAAAUGCGUAGAGAUGUGGAGGAACACCGAUGGCGAAGGCAGCCCCCUGGGCCAAUACUGACGCUCAUGCACGAAAGCGUGGGGAGCAAACAGGAUUAGAUACCCCUGUAGUCCCUGUCUCUUAUAA